Molecule: ribosomal RNA, 253 nt
Filed under: uncultured bacterium
Lineage: Bacteria
Description: partial 16S ribosomal RNA
Rfam family: Bacterial small subunit ribosomal RNA
Source: RNAcentral
UACAGAGGUCUCAAGCGUUGUUCGGAUUCAUUGGGCGUAAAGGGUGCGUAGGUGGCGCCGUAAGUCAGGUGUGAAAUUUCGGAGCUUAACUCCGAAACUGCAUUUGAUACUGCGGUGCUUGAGGACUGGAGAGGAAACUGGAAUUUACGGUGUAGCAGUGAAAUGCGUAGAGAUCGUAAGGAAGACCAGUGGCGAAGGCGGGUCUCUGGACAGUUCCUGACGCUGAGGCACGAAGGUCAGGGGAGCAAACGGG